GGUAAAAUGACUGAAGUAUUAGGUGAUAAAUUGUAAAUUUAUAAAUGAGAAUUUUUCUCUUUUACCA
RNAcentral lists this transfer RNA (67 nucleotides) under Negha inflata. RNAcentral describes it as "tRNA-Tyr". Lineage: Eukaryota; Metazoa; Arthropoda; Insecta; Raphidioptera; Inocelliidae. The record is from RNAcentral.